GGGGAAUAUUGCACAAUGGGGGAAACCCUGAUGCAGCAACGCCGCGUGAGUGAUGACGGCCUUCGGUUGUAAAGCUCUGUCUUUGGGGACGAUAAUGACGGUACCCAAGGAGGAAGCCACGGCUAACUACGUGCCAGCAGCCGCGGUAAUACGUAGGUGGCAAGCGUUGUCCGGAUUUACUGGGCGUAAAGGGAGUGUAGGCGGAUUUUUUAAGUGGGAUGUGAAAUACCCGGGCUCAACCUGGGUGCUGCAUUCCAAACUGGAAAUCUAGAGUGCAGGAGGGGAAAGUGGAAUUCCUAGUGUAGCGGUGAAAUGCGUAGAGAUUAGGAAGAACACCAGUGGCGAAGGCGACUUUCUGGACUGUAACUGACGCUGAGGCUCGAAAGCGUGGGGAGCAAACAGGAUUAGAUACCCUGGUUAGU
This 422-nucleotide ribosomal RNA is filed under the name uncultured Clostridium sp. RNAcentral's name for it is "bacterial SSU rRNA". It matches the Rfam family "Bacterial small subunit ribosomal RNA", at positions 356 to 794 of the family's 1533-position model. The record is from RNAcentral. Lineage: Bacteria; Bacillati; Bacillota; Clostridia; Eubacteriales; Clostridiaceae.